AGCGCUGCCGGCGCUAUAUAAGGGAAAGCGAUUGUCAUAGUUUCGCCUACGGUUUUGAAUAGCCGACGCUAUAGAAUAUUCAUGGUUUAUGUUUCGUACCUAUUUUAAGAAGCAUAUUCCAUAAAUGGUAGAAGAAGUUACGACGCCAGUACCGCCGGCGAUUGAAAGAGCGGACGAAUGAGUAACAAAGGGUAAGGUUAAAUCGCUAGACUUAGAUUCUAGUAACGGCGCAAGUCGUGGGAUUACAUAGGUACAUCGGUAACGAUGUAAUUAGUAGGGCAAAUUGGAUUUAGACGCUAAAUAAUAUGUACGGUAGUAGAAUACCGGCUAUAAAUA
This 336-nucleotide non-coding RNA is filed under the name unclassified sequences. Its description in RNAcentral is "throat-1 RNA". It matches the Rfam family "throat-1 RNA". From Rfam's summary of the family: throat and tongue metagenomes. Environment (Human Microbiome Project, throat) The record is from Rfam by way of RNAcentral.